Long non-coding RNA from Apis cerana (Asiatic honeybee), 2101 nucleotides. RefSeq lists it as uncharacterized. The record is from RefSeq and is a predicted model, not a curated record. Lineage: Eukaryota; Metazoa; Arthropoda; Insecta; Hymenoptera; Apidae.
GAAAAAAUAAACACAAUAGUAAAUUAACACUUCUAAUAAUACAAAAAAUAUGAUUGAAUCUAUUUAUCUGAAUAUAAACCUCAAUAAUUUGAAAAGUCACAAAUAAACAAAACUGUAUAAUAACAAUCAACCGUAUAAUUAGAUAGACUCCCAUUACAUAAAUUGUUUGUCUCCCAACAGGUUCGUUUUACCAUAUCAUAUAAAAAAGUCAUCUCUCGAAAAAGCUUGGAUAUUCGUUUACUAUAAAAUCGAUCCGCGAAAAAGCUGGAAAAAACACCGCUACAGACGGAUUAUAAAAACCCAAUCCUCGAACGUUGGCGCGGAACGUGUGGUGUCGCAAUUGGAUUUACCGUUGGUGACACCAACGCGCCAUCUAUAUAACAACGGUGCUCGACCCCGUGGUUCUGUAACGCAAUAAAACGAACCGACUGUCGAACGCAAGAUUCGACCGAAACUCACAAAGCAACGGUGAUUCUCCACGUUUGUUUCUUUCAUCGGAAAAAUAUUUCGAAAACUUGUAAUCCACCUCGCGGCGAGCAAUCGGUAUAUAACUCGAUAGGUGGAGCGCGUGAAGGAAUGGAGGGGAUUGCGUUUCGUUCGUCUAAUUGCGAGUGCCAACUUCCGUGCAAGCAUUCGCGGUAUUUCGAGACGGACGACAGUAUUAAUUUUGCGGAAAUACGGUAAUCGGUAAAUUGUCGAGAUGAUAAAUACGAGACGAUUAACAUGGAAAUUUCAGAAUGACUACAAAAGAAAAAUCAAAACUUUAGAAAUUUUCAAAAAAUAAUAAACUUUUGAAACAACGGAUAAAAGACAAUUAGAAUUUUUAAUUGGAUAGCAGAUCACUUUAAUAGGAUAUAAUUGUUGAAUCGGUUGAGAAGAAAUUCAACAUGGAAAGAACUUAAUACACGAUCAAUACAACACGUAUCAGAAGUGGAAAAGUGUGUGCUUAGCCCAGAAUGGUCUCUAUCCAGGAUUAGAAAGAACUCGAAGCUAAAGGGGUUAAAGAAGGAUUGAAGUCGAUUGCGCUUUACGAACGAUGGUCGCAGUCUGGGUCAAAAGUAAGUGGGCGAUUUAACUGGAUUUUAUUCGAUUGUGCUGAAAAAUCCUAUCGUUAGUGGAAAUGGAAUUAAUCUGGUAAUGAUGCGUAUAUGGAGGUGAAGAAGUAUAAUUGCAAAACUAAUUUAUAAAAAAAGAAAGAUGAAGAUGGAAAAUUAAAAUUGAAGAAAUUAAACUUGAAGAAAGAAUAAUUUUUUUUUAUCAAUAUUUAUUAUCAAGUUAAAUAACCAUAUAUAACAAUUCGAUAAAUAAAGGAAAAAUUUUUAAAUUUUCUUCUUUUUAAAUAAUUCGAUUAACAAUUUUAAAUUAAAUCAAACAAAAUUGUACACGCGUUCUUCUCGUGCAAAUAAAGGAAUAUUUUAUCAAAGAUCUUCUUCUUGAUAAAUCAGAAUUCAGUUUAAUCCUUUGAUCCGAUAUUUCUUGAUUGGUAAUUCUACUCGAUCCAAUAUACGAAGUUCAGAAUUUUGCACGAUGAUUCAACUUACAAAAUGUUUCGUGUUCGACGUCGUGUUUUGAGAUACGAAGGUGGUGGUAAAUGGAGGAGGAAGUGGAUUGACAAGUUUGGCCGACAGAAGGACACGUCUGUAGAUUUCCUCAUAGCUAUGCGUGAAAAUUUCUUAUGACACUUACAGCUUCUCGACACUCGGGUGUUAUAAAAAUGUCUACAACCAUGUGUUCCAGCUUGCUCGACCUUUAUGGUUAUAUCCUUACUAGCGAUGGCCACGAACAUCUCGCGAGCAGACUCGAUCAAUUACCUUCGAAUGGAGUCAAGAAGAUUUGAGAAUUAUUUUAGCAUAAUUUUAAAUUGACAUAUUUUUAUAAGUGUUUCAGAAAAAAAACUAUGUAUACGAUAUGAAAUAUUAUAAAAAUGAAUACACUUAUAUAUUGAAGAUUUUUUUUAAGAAAAAUUUAUUCGUGCAUGUUUUAAUUUAUAUGUUAUAUAUUACGUGAAAAAAUAUUAUAUUUUUGUACUUUUGCAAAGAUUAUUUUCACAAGUUCAUUAAGUAAAAAAAUAAAAAUCAAACAAUUACAAGUGCAAAAUAAA